CGCUCGGUAAAUACGACCGAGUGAAUGAAUGAAUCGCGAUGGGGGCAGAGGACGGAUAUAGAGGAUGAAGGGAUGUGGAUGAGAUGGCAAGUUAAGGGAUUCAGAUGUGGCUUUUUGGAAAAGAUGAAAGAGAAAGUCGUCGUCUCCCACCCCCCAUCUGCUAGGUCAUGCCUAAAGACACAUUCUGUCAAAUCUUAAAAGCGGCAACAGCUUUGCCUGUGGGGUACCUAUAAUUAUUAUCCGAAGCAGCAGUUGGCCCAGUGCAGUUCAUUGUUCUGCUAACACAAGCCCGAAUGAGAACAGUGGCUCCAGGCUGUGAGUUUAUAAAGUGCAACUUUUCGAUUUUGCUCUGCUAAAGCGCCCAGCAUUGUGCCGAGUCCACGAGGGACAUCUUCGGCCCGCGUCUGGGUUCAGCAGAUUGAAUCCGUCACGCUGAGUUAAACAAAGAACGGGGGAUAUAACCUUUACGGGGGCCUGUCAUCUUUCCCCGCUAAUUCAAUCUACGUUUAAUCAAUGAAAGUAAUUUCUUGUUUGUUUAAGUCUCAUCCACGGUGGCUCUUGAAGAUUUUCAAGUCGUCCACCUCCGCCCUGACCUCCUUCCCCUUUUGAACUUGGACUCGCGAACGGAGGGCCGCGGAAACGGUCCGCUGCACAGCCGGGGUGCUCGUCACCCUCUCCCGUCCUCGGCUCGCCUUUACGAAACCGCCUCGGAGAUUUGGUCCGCAAAAAAAUGAUGUCGGUUACUAUGGUGACCACGGUCCCACAAACACGGAGCGUUCGCAUUUAUGGAAUUCCAGGGCGACGAUUCUAAACGGUUGGUUUCCGUACCCACUGCGAUUGAUCGCCUUCUCUUCCCGGGUUUCGAGUGCAAAGACCUCUGCUUUCAAGACGCAGGCUAUUCCUGUUAUUGAAAGUAGCCGGUAGUGACUUAUGCAAGUUCAAGGACUUUAUCGAUCGGUUUAGCUGGUCUUAAUCAAAAUCCGUCUUCUUUUCCACUCAGAGUGAUUAAAUAGGUCUGAGAGCCGGA
Long non-coding RNA from Ornithorhynchus anatinus (platypus), 1027 nucleotides. RefSeq lists it as uncharacterized. Lineage: Eukaryota; Metazoa; Chordata; Mammalia; Monotremata; Ornithorhynchidae. The record is from RefSeq and is a predicted model, not a curated record. The transcript is spliced from 2 exons.